RNAcentral lists this ribosomal RNA (1244 nucleotides) under metagenome. RNAcentral's name for it is "bacterial LSU rRNA". It matches the Rfam family "Bacterial large subunit ribosomal RNA", at positions 1564 to 2818 of the family's 2925-position model. The record is from RNAcentral.
UGAAUACGAGACGCUAAGGCGUCGAAGUAGUGUAUGUCAUACUUCCAAGAAAAGCUUGCACUGUCAUAGAUAAAAAACGCCUGUACCAUAACCGACACAGGUGGGUAGGUAGAGUAUACUAAGGGGCGCGAGAUAACUCUCUCUAAGGAACUCGGCAAAAUAACUCCGUAACUUCGGGAGAAGGAGUGCCUUAUUCGUAAGGUUGCAAUAACAAGAUCCAAGCAACUGUUUAUCAAAAACACAGGUCUCCGCUAAGUCGUAAGACGAUGUAUGGGGGCUGACGCCUGCCCAGUGCCAGAAGGUUAAAGAAGUUGGUUAGCAAUUGCGAAGCUGAUAACUGAAGCCCUGGUGAACGGCGGCCGUAACAAUAACGGUCCUAAGGUAGCGAAAUUCCUUGUCGGGUAAGUUCCGACCCGCACGAAAGGCGUAAUGAUUUGGAUACUGUCUCGGAGAGGGGCUCGGUGAAAUAGACUUGUCUGUGAAGAUGCGGACUACCUGCACCAGGACAGAAAGACCCUAUGAAGCUUUACUGUAACUUGAAAUUGAAAUUGGACUUUAUUCGCGCAGUAUAGGUGGGAGGCGUUGAUUAUAAUCUUGUGGGAUUAUUGGAGCCAUCAGUGAGAUACCACUCUUGUAAUGUUAGAUUUCUAACUUUGAAUCAUUAUCUGGUCAAAGAACAGUUUCAGGCGGGCAGUUUGACUGGGGCGGUCGCCUCCUAAACGGUAACGGAGGCGUACAAAGGUUUCCUCUGAACGGUUAGAAAUCGUAUCUAGAGUGUAAAGGCAUAAGGAUGCUUGACUGUGAGACCUACAAGUCGAGCAGGGACGAAAGUCGGUCUUAGUGAUCUGACGGUACUGAGUGGAAAGGCCGUCACUCAACGGAUAAAAGUUACUCUAGGAUAACAGGCUGAUCUCCCCCAAGAGUUCACAUCGACGGGGAGGUUUGGCACCUCGAUGUCGGCUCAUCGCAUCCUGGGGCGGUAGUACGUCCCAAGGGUUGGGCUGUUCGCCCAUGAAAGCGGUACGCGAGCUGGGUUCAGAACGUCGUGAGACAGUUCGGUCCAUAUCCGGUGUAGGCGUUAGAAUAUUGAGAGGAGCCUUCUUUAGUACGAGAGGACCGAGAAGGACAUACCUCUGGUGUACCAGUUAUCGUGCCAACGGUAAACGCUGGGUAGCUAUGUAUGGAGUGGAUAACCGCUGAAAGCAUCUAAGUGGGAAGCCCACCUCAAGAUAAGUAUUCUCACC